Gymnogyps californianus (California condor) is the source of this 876-nucleotide long non-coding RNA. RefSeq lists it as uncharacterized. Lineage: Eukaryota; Metazoa; Chordata; Aves; Accipitriformes; Cathartidae. The transcript is spliced from 3 exons. The record is from RefSeq and is a predicted model, not a curated record.
GAUGUCCAAUAUAAAUAUUCCCUGUUUGAAAACUGAGAGCACAUCUGGAUAGACAAAUCCUUUGAAGUCCCUUCAACCCUACAUGACCUUCAGUGAUUUCUUUGAAACCUUGAGCUGUUCUUCAGUUGGACUGAUGGUCAUUUCGAAGAUGCAUUGCAGUAGGUUCAAAAAACUGGAAGAAAAGUUUAGAGAGAAGUUUAAGCUAUGGGUUAACAACUAAGUUAACCAACAAAACCACCUGAUUUCUAACCAUAUCAGCAGACUUAAAAUAGAACUGCAUUACAAGGGAGAAUCCUCUUAGAAUUUGAUGUUCAUUACUUGGAUCAUCAAAGCUCAACUAUAAGAAGAUUAAGAAAUGGAAGAUUUAAGAUUAGUUUGUUUGCUGAGAAUGGCGUCAUACGUUGUCUUACACAAUGUGUUCUGCUCAGUACAACAUGGCAUAGAGGUGUUGCUCCUCUCUCACAACUCUCAUCGAUAUCACUAGAAUUUGCUUAUGCUCAGAAUAUCUCAGGAGGCUCUCAGCAAAUUGCUUGGCUUCCAGAUUUGAAAAAAUACAGCAUAUAUAACCUUGGAGUAAAUGGAAUUCUUUGUCUGCUUUUUCUGUUUUUUAUAUGGAUGUUAACUGUGAUUUAUGAAUGUGCUUUGUUCUUAUGUUUCUUUUCCUCAAGAGAUUUCUGUAAUUCAUAUUUGUAAAAUUCUCUACUGUUCUCUGUUCCUUUGUACUGCAAAUACAUAUUCUCACUAUCAGUUUAGUUUAUGACCUAGCAGUAACAUGAGUAUCUUAUAUAUGCACUCAGAUACUGGCUAACUUUAAAUAAAUUAAUAUCUGUAUGUCCUUACUUAUCUCUCCUUUACUCGCUUAUGUCUCUUUUUCCU